GAUGAACGCUGGCGGCGUGCCUAAUACAUGCAAGUCGAGCGAACGGACGAGAAGCUUGCUUUUCUGAUGUUAGCGGCGGACGGGUGAGUAACACGUGGAUAACCUACCUAUAAGACUGGGAUAACUUCGGGAAACCGGAGCUAAUACCGGAUAAUAUUUUGAACCGCAUGGUUCAAAAGUGAAAGACGGUCUUGCUGUCACUUAUAGAUGGAUCCGCGCUGCAUUAGCUAGUUGGUAAGGUAACGGCUUACCAAGGCAACGAUGCAUAGCCGACCAGAGAGGGUGAUCGGCCACACUGGAACUGAGACACGGUCCAGACUCCUACGGGAGGCAGCAGUAGGGAAUCUUCCGCAAUGGGCGAAAGCCUGACGGAGCAACGCCGCGUGAGUGAUGAAGGUCUUCGGAUCGUAAAACUCUGUUAUUAGGGAAGAACAUAUGUGUAAGUAACUGUGCACAUCUUGACGGUACCUAAUCAGAAAGCCACGGCUAACUACGUG
This 497-nucleotide ribosomal RNA is filed under the name uncultured bacterium. RNAcentral describes it as "partial 16S ribosomal RNA". It matches the Rfam family "Bacterial small subunit ribosomal RNA", at positions 28 to 507 of the family's 1533-position model. The record is from RNAcentral.